This is a non-coding RNA of Camellia sinensis, 490 nucleotides long. Lineage: Eukaryota; Viridiplantae; Streptophyta; Magnoliopsida; Ericales; Theaceae. The record is from RefSeq and is a predicted model, not a curated record.
UGCUGUGUUUUUCGUUCUUAUUAAACUAGUCUUGGAUUUGGUACAACAAUGGGUCUUGCUGUCUUUGUGGAUGUGACAUUGAUAUCCUUUUAAUGCAGGUCAAAAAAACCAUGUCCUCUUCAUAAUCCUCCUUUUUGGGUUUGUUUUUACUAAGGCUUCGUAUGUAGAAUGCUCAUCUCAAUGCAUCCUCAAGUUGGAUAAGCCUCUAGGAAAUUGGCUCAAGUUUGCUGUCUGAAUACUCGAAGUUAUGCCUAUUUAUGGUGACUAGAUAAGGCCAUAAAUUGUGAAUACUACUGCCUAUCAUCUUUCCAUUCAUAUGAUGCUUACUUCUUUUUAUGCCUUUGUUUAGAAUCAGUUAGUAUUCAGAUCUGAACAAUGAGGAAGAACUUUUUGUAAUUGCUGUGAACAAUCAUUUCAUUUUUACUCCAGUAGGAAACUGUUCAUUAAAAUAAAAUGGAAAUAAGGAAGGUAGUGGUGUUUGCUUCUAAUA